GACGAACGCUGGCGGCGUGCUUAACACAUGCAAGUCGAACGGAAAGGCCCUGCUUUUGUGGGGUGCUCGAGUGGCGAACGGGUGAGUAACACGUGAGUAACCUGCCCUUGACUUUGGGAUAACUUCAGGAAACUGGGGCUAAUACCGGAUAGGAGCUCCUGCUGCAUGGUGGGGGUUGGAAAGUUUCGGCGGUUGGGGAUGGACUCGCGGCUUAUCAGCUUGUUGGUGGGGUAGUGGCUUACCAAGGCUUUGACGGGUAGCCGGCCUGAGAGGGUGACCGGCCACAUUGCGACUGAGAUACGGCCCAGCCUCCUACGGGAGGCAGCAGUGGGGAAUAUUGCACAAUGGGCGGAAGCCUGAUGCAGCCACGCCGCGUGCGGGAUGACGGCCUUCGGGUUGUAAACCGCUUUCGCCUGUGACGAAGCGUGAGUGACGGUAAUGGGUAAAGAAGCACCGGCUAACUACGUG
RNAcentral lists this ribosomal RNA (468 nucleotides) under uncultured bacterium. RNAcentral describes it as "partial 16S ribosomal RNA". It matches the Rfam family "Bacterial small subunit ribosomal RNA", at positions 28 to 507 of the family's 1533-position model. The record is from RNAcentral.